Molecule: non-coding RNA, 130 nt
Organism: Podarcis lilfordi (Lilford's wall lizard)
Lineage: Eukaryota; Metazoa; Chordata; Lepidosauria; Squamata; Lacertidae
Source: the annotation of a GenBank genome assembly
AGUGACCAGCUCCUCCUCCUCCUGCUGCUGCUGCUGCUGCUGCUGCUACAGACAGGAAGGGGGGAAGCACCCUCAGCCAGUGGCGACAGCAGCAGCAGCAGCAGCAGCAGGAGGAGGAGGAGCUGCCACU